This 485-nucleotide ribosomal RNA is filed under the name bacterium enrichment culture clone NKeF3GL4. RNAcentral describes it as "bacterial SSU rRNA". It matches the Rfam family "Bacterial small subunit ribosomal RNA", at positions 33 to 536 of the family's 1533-position model. The record is from RNAcentral.
GAGACGCUGGCGGCGUGCUUAACACAUGCAAGUCGAGCGAUGAAACUCCUUCGGGAGUGGAUUAGCGGCGGACGGGUGAGUAACACGUGGGCAACCUGCCUCAAAGUGGGGAAUAGCCCUCCGAAAGGAGGAUUAAUACCGCAUAAUAUGAAAGAAUCGCAUGGUACUUUCAUUAAAGAUUUAUCGCUUUGAGAUGGGCCCGCGGCGCAUUAGCUAGUUGGUGAGGUAACGGCUCACCAAGGCGACGAUGCGUAGCCGACCUGAGAGGGUGAUCGGCCACAUUGGAACUGAGACACGGUCCAGACUCCUACGGGAGGCAGCAGUGGGGAAUAUUGCGCAAUGGGGGAAACCCUGACGCAGCAACGCCGCGUGAGUGAUGAAGGUCUUCGGAUUGUAAAACUCUGUCUUCAGGGACGAUAAUGACGGUACCUGAGGAGGAAGCCACGGCUAACUACGUGCCAGCAGCCGCGGUAAUACAAGCCGAA